GGCUGAGUGGACUGGCGGGACGAGAAAAGGGGCGGGGCGUGCCCAAUCCGGGCUGAAGAGCGUUACCAUGGCAAACGUGCCGCGGAGGCCCUGAGAGGCCACCCGCCCUAUGUUGGUCUGCGAGAAAUCAAACUUCGAACAGGACAAGCCCGAAGCCCGCUUCUCCGGGAGACGGGGUGCCACAAUUACGAGGCUACUCCAAAACUUCUAUAAUGAUGGUAGAGUUCAGUGAAGUGGAGCUUCAGGCCUGCCAUCCCCAUGCUCCUGGCAAGCAGCAGCAUCUCCCCUGAGCAUGGUGGCAUAGGGCAUGCCAUUAAAACCACCUUGCUGCUGUUCAUCUCCACAUACUGAGUUGCUGUACACUUUGCAGUGGAAUUCCACCUUGCUGCGUCUGGUUGGCCAGAAGCCCUGCAGGAAAAUAACAGGCUUUAAAAACUUUAAUGAAGAUAACUAAAAUCACCAAGAAGUUACAAGAAUUCACAGAAUGCCUAAUAUAGUUGAAAGGAAAUUAUGAAAACUUCUCAAGACCAGAAGUAAAUAAAGGUAAUGAUCCAGAGAAGCAUUAACCUAAAAGGCCAGUGGCUCCAUUCAGAUGCAUCUGAUCACAAGGAUGUUGGAUCCAUGUGGGUUGUUGAGCUUCUGACAAGGAAAAUGGAAUAAACAAAGAGAAACUGCCUGCAGGCAUCCAGAGUGUAAUGUCUCCCAUAUGUGAGAACUGAACUAUAAAUUAUGUUGCACACAAGGAGAUGAGCAACUAGUGUGAAGCAUUAGAUAAAUUUUAUGGCACAUAAAACCCAGAUAUGAAGAUUAUAUUUAAAUGUUUGCCAAUAUAAUGAAAAACAAGAAACCAAAAUAAUGUGGAAAAUAUCUAUGAGCUUCUCAAGUCGUAUUUGGAAAAGAG
This 901-nucleotide long non-coding RNA is filed under the name Pongo abelii (Sumatran orangutan). RNAcentral describes it as "lncRNA (ENSPPYG00000030801.1)". Lineage: Eukaryota; Metazoa; Chordata; Mammalia; Primates; Hominidae. The record is from RNAcentral.